This 281-nucleotide unclassified non-coding RNA is filed under the name Hevea brasiliensis (rubber tree). Lineage: Eukaryota; Viridiplantae; Streptophyta; Magnoliopsida; Malpighiales; Euphorbiaceae. The record is from RNAcentral.
GCAAUCUCUAUAACAUUCUUGUUAGCUACCAGAAUAGGAAAGGCAAUGUAUUCUUUCAAGGUUCUCCGAAGCAGAUGUGUGCAAAUAUCACUUGAACAAAGUGGGAUCUUCGUAUCCUGGAAACCAAUUAUUUGAAGGAAAGGAUAUCUAUCCUGGAGAAACUUUACUUUCUCAAGCAUGCUAGCAAAGUUUGCCUCCGUGAUUGAGGAACCAUCUAAGAAUCCAGCAAUGAGCACUAAGAAAAUGCCAUCUUUCAGAGACUUCUUAUCCGCCGUGAAUCA